AUGAUUUUUUUAUGAAAGUUUCCUUUAUCAUUUUAGUCUAUAUAUCUAUCUUGUCCUUGCAACAAGUCCUGCUUCUUUCUUUAAACAGAUUAAGCUUCGAGUUGCCACCUCAAGUAAAAAGAAAUCGCCAAAUGACAAUAUCAUGAAGCUGUAACAGGCCAACAAGAGCCAAAUUACUGCCCUGAUCAGAAAGCUUAAACCCCCAUGAAACUGGUUAUGGUUCACAGAGAAAAUGGAAUUGCUGGCUUGGGGCUUGGGACUUAGAAACUUACAAGAUGAUUAGUGCCC
This 288-nucleotide long non-coding RNA is filed under the name Ricinus communis (castor bean). RNAcentral's name for it is "long non-coding RNA (RCOM_LNC003519)". The record is from RNAcentral. Lineage: Eukaryota; Viridiplantae; Streptophyta; Magnoliopsida; Malpighiales; Euphorbiaceae.